CCUACGGGCGGCAGCAGUGGGGAAUAUUGCACAAUGGGCGCAAGCCUGAUGCAGCCAUGCCGCGUGUGUGAAGAAGGCCUUCGGGUUGUAAAGCACUUUCAGCGGGGAGGAAGGCGGUGAGGUUAAUAACCUCAUCGAUUGACGUUACCCGCAGAAGAAGCACCGGCUAACUCCGUGCCAGCAGCCGCGGUAAUACGGAGGGUGCAAGCGUUAAUCGGAAUUACUGGGCGUAAAGCGCACGCAGGCGGUCUGUCAAGUCGGAUGUGAAAUCCCCGGGCUCAACCUGGGAACUGCAUUCGAAAGUGGCAGGCUAGAGUCUUGUAGAGGGGGGUAGAAUUCCAGGUGUAGCGGUGAAAUGCGUAGAGAUCUGGAGGAAUACCGGUGGCGAAGGCGGCCCCCUGGACAAAGACUGACGCUCAGGUGCGAAAGCGUGGGGAGCAAACAGGAUUAGAUACCCGUGUAGUC
RNAcentral lists this ribosomal RNA (465 nucleotides) under uncultured Klebsiella sp. RNAcentral's name for it is "bacterial SSU rRNA". It matches the Rfam family "Bacterial small subunit ribosomal RNA", at positions 338 to 795 of the family's 1533-position model. Lineage: Bacteria; Pseudomonadati; Pseudomonadota; Gammaproteobacteria; Enterobacterales; Enterobacteriaceae. The record is from RNAcentral.